Molecule: ribosomal RNA, 643 nt
Filed under: Ornithinibacter aureus
Lineage: Bacteria; Bacillati; Actinomycetota; Actinomycetes; Micrococcales; Intrasporangiaceae
Description: bacterial SSU rRNA
Rfam family: Bacterial small subunit ribosomal RNA
Source: RNAcentral
CGCGGCCUAUCAGCUUGUUGGUGAGGUAAUGGCUCACCAAGGCGACGACGGGUAGCCGGCCUGAGAGGGCGACCGGCCACACUGGGACUGAGACACGGCCCAGACUCCUAUGGGAGGCAGCAGUGGGGAAUAUUGCACAAUGGGCGAAAGCCUGAUGCAGCGACGCCGCGUGAGGGAUGAAGGCCUUCGGGUUGUAAACCUCUUUCAGUAGGGAAGAAGCGCAAGUGACGGUACCUACAGAAGAAGCACCGGCUAACUACGUGCCAGCAGCCGCGGUAAUACGUAGGGUGCGAGCGUUGUCCGGAAUUAUUGGGCGUAAAGAGCUUGUAGGCGGUUUGUCGCGUCUGCCGUGAAAAUCCGGGGCUCAACUCCGGACUUGCGGUGGGUACGGGCAGACUAGAGUGUGGUAGGGGAGACUGGAAUUCCUGGUGUAGCGGUGAAAUGCGCAGAUAUCAGGAGGAACACCGAUGGCGAAGGCAGGUCUCUGGGCCAUUACUGACGCUGAGAAGCGAAAGCGUGGGGAGCGAACAGGAUUAGAUACCCUGGUAGUCCACGCCGUAAACGUUGGGAACUAGAUGUGGGUCUCAUUCCACGAGAUCCGUGCCGCAGCUAACGCAUUAAGUUCCCCGCCUGGGGAGUACGG